CUUUUUUUUCUUUUUUUUUUUUUUUUUUUUGAAGAGGGCUUUUAUCUACAGUCUGGAAUUUUAAAAGUCUUAUAUCCUGCAAGGACUGUUUGAAGCAGUUCCAGAAGAACUGCUUUUCAUUAGUAAGUGCUGACUCAAUGAUCUGUAGAAAUGUAUUGAGUUCAUCAAAAAAAUUAAAGAAAAUUAUUUGGUUUUACUUCUAAAAGGUUACAUAAUUUCAGUUGGACUUCAUCACUUAAAUCACUAUGUUUCAAAUGUGUUAUCACUUGAAAGUAGAAAUAAUAAAGGCAAAACAAACUGAUUUGAUUCCAUCAAAGUCUUUGAUAAAGAGCUCUUUUGAUGACUUCAAGUAAAGCAAUUCCAAAAUGUUAUUUCUCAGUAAAUUUUGGAAUUUCAAGGUUUUGUUUAAAUUUGAAAAAAAAGCAAAAAACUAAGUGAUAGCCUUUCUUAAGCAACAUAAAUGUUGAACUUAGGCAAAUGCUGAUAUAAUUGUGCCCAGCAGGCCAGGGUUUUAUUCAAGUGAGUGUAUGUGUAUUUAUAUGUGAUAUAAGCUUGAACACAUGUGAUCUAAGUUUGGACAUAAAGUCUAGAGGGCUGCCAGGGCAGGGCAGUUUUUCAAGCUGCUCUAAUAUAAACCAGAAUCACAGUUAUUGCUUUUCUGCAAAAUAAGAGAGUCUGUACUUACACUUUUCCCCACUCUUGUCAGCUGGGUAAAAGGGGCUGAAAAGACACUUAAAAGGCACUCUGGUUAUACCUACACUGAUAAAUAGCAUGUUUGGGCAUGUUAACUGGCCUUGAGGCUCUGCUGUAUGGCUGUGUUCCAUGCUCUUGGCCUUUCUCACCCACCUAAAGAGGAUGUGUGAGAAACAAGCAUUAAUCUGCAUCAGCCUUAUCAGAUGGCAAGGAAAAGGUAGAUUUCAUAGCAAGUCACGGUGGCGUAGACAUUAGUCUUCAUGCACUCUUUCAAAGCCCAUGAUUAUCAAGUUAGGAGCAGGGAGUUAAAACCACAUCCACUCACCACAGGCUACAAGAGAGUUUGAAGCCAGCAGUUAUCUGUUUCAGAGAGGUUUAUUCAUGUCAUUUUCUUGCCCAUGCUCCCAGUCUGUUUUCUGUUCAGCCAGCCUGCAGCAAUAGUCCUGAGAAGCAUAGAUUCUUCUUUUCAUCCUGUGUUCAUCAUUCUUUAGAUUUAGUUUGCAUCAAGCACUGACAUCUGAACACAUAAGCUUAUCCUACAGCCACAAACCCUUCAGAUUCACAAGUACCAUCUGCUCUCAGUAAAACUACGUAAUCAGCCCAGCUCCUCCACUGAUAAAUUCUUCUGAUGCUGCUACACAUCAUAGGGAUGGUCCUACUCAGACCAGAGUCUACCUGGCCCAGGACAGUAAUCAACAGCAGAUGCCUCGGAAAGGGUAUGAAAACACACAGUGAUGGCUUUCCCUGAAGAUGUGUUUGGUAUCUCCUGUGCCGUCACUAAUGUCUUUGUGUUUAGUUUUUCACAAUGGGAACUUCCAUGGAUUUUUUUGUGUAGGUUUUUUUGCCUCUGCUAGCUCACAGUACACAUAACACACACGGAUAAAUUGCACACGUAAGUACGCACCGCAUAAGGAAAAACAUAAAGUAGCUUUGAACUGCAUACAUGCUGGGCUCAUAGACAUCUAGAUCUUGAUGGAAAGAGGCAAGGAGUCUCCAUAUUAUUUUCUUCCAAACUUAGAAGACCUCUAAGUCACUCUUCAUGUGAAGGCAUUUCCAUGCUUCUCUCGUUUCCUUUCUCUAAGCUUUUUCCAGUUCUCCACUACAUGUUUUUUAAGAAGAGGGGACAUGAGCUCUGUAGGGAUUUAUGCAGUUUCUUUUGUUCUGUAUUUCUUUUCUAAUAAUUCCUAACAUUCAAUUUACAUUUUUAUUGCUGCUGAGCAUUAAAUUGGUGGUUUCAUAAAAACUAUUCAUUAAAAUUCCGAGAUCUCAUUCCUAAGUGGUAACAUUCAAUUCAGAGCUGAUCACACUACAAGGAGAGUUAAGAUUGCUUUUUUCAUGGGUAUCACUUAUAUUUAUCUACAUUGAAGUGGUGAUACCAAAAUUUGCAAUACAGUCAAAACUUCAAUUUCUGCCUAAAACAAAUAUUUUCAAAAAUAUAAAAACUGGCUCUUGUUAAGAAAUACUUGUUUGAAUCUGUCACUGAAGAAUUUUCCAAUGACAUGACAGUGUAACAUAAAGAGAUCUCUAUGCAUCAUUUUUUACCACUCUAAGCAAUAUCACUGUCUCAAUAUUCUGAGUCAUCAUGCUAUGUUAGAGCCACAAUUCCUUCAGACGAAGGAAUAGAAGAAAAUCCCACCUUUCAUUAACAAAAAUCAAGUACAUUUCAAGCUAUCAUCUGUAUAAAAGCUAAAAAUGUGAUACAGUUGCAUGGUCAAGAACAACAGUAUACAGACUAAAAGAACUUAACUUUUUUUUCCAUUUUAGCAUUCUUUUUAAACCUAUUUCAUACUUUGAGAAGCAUAAUUUUUAACUAGAUAACAGAAUUAUGAUGGUGAACAAAUGAUACAUAUAUAGGUACUGUCAAUCAAAUUUAUGUAUGAUGGCAAUGUGUGAUAUAUUUCUAAACUACCCUAGAGUUAAUCCAGUUAGUUUGGAGGGGUUUUUUAAUAAAUCUGGAAAUACUGUCAAAUUUAUCAUAUCAUCAAGAUCACACUAGUUCCUGUGGAUGAAAAGAUUUAAUACCUUCAGGAAAACACCAAACAGACCACAACAACUUAAUAGCAAGGAAUGUGGUUCUAUUUAAGACCUGAUGAUGCUAUCUCAUUAUCCAAAUGAGUGUUCUGCCCUACAGACUCUCAGCUAGCCUAGAAAGCAUUGCUCACAGUUUCUCUUCAUGGAGCUGUUCCACAGUGAGAUACCAAGGUCCUGAUCUGAAGCACACUGAGUUAGAAAAGCAAAGCAUGAAAACUACAAGUAUUAGGGGAAGAAACAUUUUCUCUCUUUCUAUAUUAUGGCAUAUAUCUACAGAGAUAGACAAUAUUUUGUCUCUGUGACUUCUUUAUUGUCUUUUGGAUCAGGAAUGGAAAUACUAUGAUUUAUAAGUGCUAUUAGGAAUUAGUUAUCAUUCCAAACAUACAUAGUUUUAACAAUUUAAGUGAAAAUCUUAGUCUCAUUUAAGCAUGCACAACUACUUAAAACAAAGCCCAAAGAGAAUUGUUGGUUGUUCUACAAACUCCUAAUUUUCUAAGUCAAAUUAUUUGGAAGUACCAAUUUAAUUAAACAUUCAAAAUAAUUAAUACUUUAAACUUAUCUUGAGAACAAACAGUUUAUUUUCUAUAUCCUCACAAGCAGUAAGCAUUUUAAGAUAAUAUAUAUGCACACACAUCAUUUUUAGAAAAUCAUUGCAUGCCAUGGUAUAUAAUAAAUGUAAAUCAUCUUAUUUCUAUCCAUAGGAUCUUAUCCAGUACAAACACAAGAAUUCAUGUUUCAGAUCUUAUUUCUAGUAAAAGGCAGAUUACCUCUUACCAUUCUCUACUCUUAAUUUUCAUUUUAUAAAAGAAGCCUUUACUUAAUCUUUCUGCCAGUUUAAUUAUGAAGUGUGAACUGUCACAGUUCUAGUACAUGCUGUGGUCCCUGCUCUGAUUGCUUCGUGACUUGCACUUUUAAUAGUGCAUCACUGGAGAGAUUUGGCACGAAGACCAUUAAACCAUGGAAAAGCAUGCAUUCACUCCUUGCUUUGGGACCCAGUGGUAAUAACUGAGCUUGGUAGCCAGACAAAUCAAUGACAGCAAACACCUCCCAUCUUUUUCUCGCAGUGAGGUCUCCUUCUGGAUACCUGUCUCUCACCUGAAAGAGGAGGCACAUGGCUUGCUGUACAGGAGUAAGGAAUAAGGACAACACUCCUGUCCAUAUUGUCAGGCUAAAAUCUUAUUUUGGUGAGAUUCUUUGCAGGGGCACAAUCUCUCAUAACUGCCCCGCCCAUUCUGUUUGAACACCAAUGUGUGGAGAUACAUUUAAUGACUUCUGUAACUCCCUUGUUUGCAAGAGAUGUCUUUAGCAAGUCAACCUGAAACUUGCUGUUGUAAUAUUUUCACCAACAGUUUUGUUGCUAGGAGUUAACUUAGGUUGGUUAAAUGUGAGAAACUUCUUUAUUUCCAUUUGCCCCAGCUACCUUAUUUGUUCUUAGAUGGCUCCUGGUCCACCCAGCUGAGCACUGCCUCUGUGGUGCUCAUAAAGCUCCAUCAACACUCAGGCAUGUAUAACAUGCACAGUCCAUACAGCCCUUCUCUGAUUAGUAUGUGCCUCCUGUUCUCCUGUGUCACUUCAGCUAUCCUCCAAAUUACAGUGCAAGAGUACAUUUAAACUCAUAAAAAAGUUCUCAGCUAUUUCCUCUCAGGAUGAGAGGUUGUUUUGAGACCAGUUGAUGUUGUUUUGAAAUUUCCACUGUUGGGCAGAUGCAAUAGCCCCAUGGAUUUUGUGUUUUGAAUUUUCUGACCCUUCUAAGUAAACUAAGCACUAAAAACUGGGAAGCAGGAGAAGCUUGGAUGUGUAAAAUCUCAAAUAUUCAUUUCCCCAUUGAAUUUUGACAGAAGCUUUAGUAAUUUUGUAUUUUGCCUGAAUUGCUUCAGUGUGUAUACAGUACAGAUAGUCAACAGGUAAAAUAAAUCUCUAUUUUCAAGUCUUAGCUUUGUACUGAAGGUGCAAAAGCAUUGCUAGGAAGAAAGCUGGGAUAUAAGCCUCAGACUGAGAUACAGCACCAGGCAGCUCUGUAGAUGUAAAAAUGAUUCUGCUAUAACAUCCAUACGUGGUAGUAAAUAUGAACAGCACUGCUAGCUGGUGGGACAGGUGGAAAGGGUCAGCACUAUUGCUCCCAUUUCAAGAAUCCUAAGGAUUUGCAUAGUGUAUAUGCCAAGUGGCAGAAAGACAAAGCUGUGUUGAAAGUGAAUAAUCAGUUUCUAUAUAAUAAAAAUAUGUUCAUCUUCCGAUUUUAGAGAGGGACUUCACAGAGUCACACAGCUCUGAGAGCUAAGUGAUAUAACAAUAUGCCCUCUAAAAGCAAGCUAGAACACUCUUCCCUUCUUUCAGAAAAUCCUGACCUUGUGGAAGUAAACCUGUGUUCUGUGAAGUGAGAGUUUACUGCAUUAUUGUCAGCUUGAAAUGACCUACCAUACGGCUGUUGGAGAUUUCACGAGUGAAUUCCUUGUGUGGCUGUGGGAAGGUUUUGCACAAGAUAGGAAAUCACUUGUAAAGUAUUUUGACAGAGAUUCCAGAUUUGUGAGUGUGUCUUAAGUUCUAUGUAACAUUAUCUAGAAUAGGCAGAAAAGUAAAUUACUUUUUUCUAUUAUAUAUGCAAGUGUAUAACUAAGGGAUGAGAAAAAUUAUCUUUGCCUUUUGGGAUGAAGUAAGAGAAUUAAUCUUUUACUUACCAUGAGACAAUGGUACAGAGCUGAAGGGAACAGAAGUAUUAAAUGUCUUAGGUAAUAAUUGGAAGCUAGAAAUCAUGUUGAAGAAUAUGCAUACACACAUGAUUUUCUAUUUUAAAACCUACCUUGGUGCAAGAUACACCUAAGUAAUACAAAGAUAUAAUUUAUUUAAAACUACACAUAAUAAAUGGAGCACUUGGGUUUUAUCUAUUUGUAUUUAUGCACAACCUAAAUGCAACAAUCUGGUUCUCUGCACACCUGUUCCAUAAAAACAUAGUUCUUAGAACAAGGCGCCCACAAUUCAUCGUUUCCAUAUUAUAUGGCAAAGUUUAAGCUAAUAAAACAAACCCACCCCAUUUUCAAAUGGAGUACACAUCAUGGCUCAUCUCCUAGGAUGCAUUAUAACAGGCAAUAAUCUAACUUUGUCCUGGCAAUUAACUAACUCAGUUUAUUUUGGGCUUGGAGAAGGAAGUAUAAGCUUCAAAACUGUGGCACUUCUACAUAUCAAAUUAAAACACCUGUACUUUACAUAGAGAGGGAAAAGCAGUUUCUAUAGCCAGCUGCUGUCAAGCCAGGGCAAUAGAGAUCAAACCAGUCAGUGCCAAAACAUAGAGCCAUUUUCUACUGAGCAGCAGUGGGGUAGGAGACAGCAUCUUGAGAAGCAGUCAGGCCAAAAGCAAUCCUGCCACAAGCACCAUGGUGCCCCGAGCUUGCCCUUGUUAUUCAAACACACCAGAUGUGAUUGGGGUGCAGAGGGAAGAAGGGCUGCAUCUGUGCAAGGAAAUCACUGCAGCAUCUGUUUCCUUCCCCGAUUUUUAUCCCAUUUGCAGUUUGAUAAGAGAACUGCCAUGUUGCAAUCUCAUAGCAUUCUAUAUGUAUCAAUCAAAAGGCAAAAACUGUCAAAAAUGAAUUCUGAAAAUAAUUCAUCAAGAAAAUAAAAGCCCCGUAGAAACAGACUAAUGUCACAAGUGUGUAUUUCUAAAGCUUUUGUUUUGAGUUUACAAGUCUGAUCUUAUUAAAACAAAUUGCUCUUUUGCUUUUUUUCCCAGUCAAUGCAAUUUCCAGAUGAGAUGAAGCAUAACUAAACAAAAAGUCUACGGUGAAGUGAUCGGCCAGCUCAGUCCGUGCUCCAGGAGCAUUCCUGCAUUCCUCAGAGCUAGGAAGCUCUUACACAGCAACAUCUAUGGACAAGACUCUCUCCUGACCCUGGUAGUACCCAAGGCUCCCUGUGAGGCCAAUAAACUGACUGUGGUUAUUCAAGUCAGCUCUCCCCUUGACCCAACUACUGGACAUACCCUGGGCAAGAGACCUUUCCUCCCUUCAGCAAGUCCAGCAAGCCAGGGGCACUCCUGAUCACCUGCUCUGAAUGAGCAGCCGUCAUAAGCAAAUCCUUUGGGUUCUGGAUUGCUAGUCCAGCUCCCUACAGAAUGAUGAAUGCUUCAAGUCUUGCUCUAUGAGGCAUUUCAUGGCUGAGGACCAAGAUUGAUAAAUUUCCAGAGAAACCGCCAUGGUCAACAGUCACACAAUGCAGUCUACACAGUAAAAUUAAAACUGACUGUGGAGUGAAUAGUUUUAGGACUUUCUUGAGAGCCAUUCCUGAAGACCUAAUAAAAAUUAGAAAAGUGCUUAACCCCCUUUUAUCUCCAAUGAAAACCAUAUUCCUUCAUUCACAUAUACAUUUGCAUAUCACACUAUAUGUCAUUAUAGGAAGCAAAUCAGCAAAGCAAUUCUACAUUAUUCUAAUAUGCACGUUUCUUUCUCUGUCAAGUGGAUAAUUAAAAAACAAAAGACAGAUGGGAAGUCAUGCUUUGUUUAUUACCUUCGCCAUAAGGUUUUCUGAUGCUGUGAUGGUAAAAUUAUUUUGAAUAGCAAGCAUUUACUAGAUGCUAUUAUUCUACAAAUUCUGUGGGAGAUUUCUUGUCACCUUGGAAAUUAUAUGUUUGUUUCUAGAAAGAAAAAUUAGCUUUAUUCAAGGUCUAAGUAAUUUGGAUGUAUGGCAAGCAGCAUCUAAAACAAGUCUAAUAUCAACAUCCACAAAUGUAGAUUUUAUGACUGUUAAAUAUACAUGUUGCAAAAGAUUAGAUUUACUGGUUUUCUUAUAUUGUGUUAGUCAUUUAUAACAUUUGGUGACUGAACAACAUAAACUUAUUUUAUGGUUCUUUCAUCCUUUCUCAAAAGGAUUGCAGUCUUCUAGUAAGGCAAAAUCAACACAAGGGUUUCUGGGAUAUAAGCACUGCACAUACAAAGGUAGUAUUUCUGAUGGAUAACGUUCUUUAAAGGUCUUUUCAUGAUCCAUUAAUUUAUGAAUUACACAGCAGAAUAGGCAUUGUCAAGGGCUUAAUUUCAGUUAUAUGUUGAUCUUCUUCCCUUUAAGCUUUUAUCCAAGAAGUAAGUAGGACUAAAAAUAACAUCUUUCCUUAGCCUGAAACUGACAGGUCAUAUCACAGAAUUAACUGUUUUAUUCUUAACUUAUUAAAAGGUGGGCAGUUAUCUAUAAAUAGGAACACUCACAAAAAAAAUCAAAAUAGAUUAAGAUUUUAAAAAAAUUGAUAAAACUUUUUUACAAUUUAUUGGAAAACUGACUUCCUGGGAGCCAGAUUUCCAUGAAAGCAGCCUACCUUCACCUUGCCAAACCUAAUCCAAUCCAGGUAAACCAGAAGUAAAUUACUACAGACGGGUUAUUUAGAAGUCGAUGAGAAAUCAGUCUCAGGGUCCACCUUACCUGAGAAGAACAUGCUUUUAGUGAUGGCUCAAAAAAGAUACCAAAAAAAAAAAGACUGAUGAGCAUAAUUAUGGAAGUAUUCUUACUCCCUAAGUACUAUUUUCCUCAAGGACUGAGGUCUGAGGUAAAUUUCAUAAGCCAUCAUAAAUCAAUUUUAUAGUGUUUACAGUGUUUAGAGCUGUUAUUUCUCUUUUCUCUCAUGUCUCUUUUUCUUACAGCAACAAAAAAAAAAAAAAAAAAACCAAAAAAAAACCAAAACAAAACAACAGCUCUCAAAAGGGAGAAUCUGCCAGAUCUGCUAGCAAGCUAAAGAAGUUGUGAUAAAAUUCUGACCUCAGGAGUUUUUGACACAAGGAGCAACUGCAAGCAUUGCUGCUAAACAGAAUUUGGCCGGGUGCUUGCAGUACAGUAUUUCAAGUAAUCCAGAUUAGCUGCUAUUAAGAGAUCUGUUUUUUACUUACAGGGUGUGGCAAUAUGUAAGAAACUCAUGGUAUCCUGAGAGGGAGUUUCUUAACUUCCUUCUCAUUACAUUCAAUGGUUUCUGUUUCACAAUGAAAAAGUGUGAAAAAAUGCUGACAAUAUUUACAUUCAAAUUUCUCUUGCAAAUAAUUACAGUCUUGAGUGUCAGCUAAGAUGAAACUAACAUAAACUUUAAUAUGACCACAUUUUUUUUUAAUUCUGAAAGAGCAGAACCCUCUUUUUCUUCCACAAAUUACCCUAGAGGCAUACCUGACAAUGUGUAGUCAGAUCUUGUUUUCUUGAAGUUCCCAAAACAUUUUGAGGCAUUGCAAUUGAAGGCAAUGUUCUUGCCAUGAGCAUAAUUGUAAUCAAGAGAUGAGAUAUUCAUUGAGCCAUUAAUUUAAGUAUAGUAAUUCUUUUCUCUUUUUUAGUAAAACUUAUAAAGCAAAGAGCAUGGUUUUGUUAAGAAUCAAACCCGUACAAAGCUGUUUGUUCUAUACUGUUGUGGUUUGGCUCUCUAAAGGUUUCUUUACAUGUCAGCAAAUCUGUGACAGGUUGGAAAAAUAUAAAAGAUUCAUUAUGAAGGUAAAAUUGUCAGAAGUCCAAAAGAUCAUGUAAUUUUCUUGAAACAAGCAUAAACAUGAAAUUCUAGGGAUAAAUGGGAGGAAGCUGCCUAAGCACACCUGGAAAUAUUUCAAAUGGAAAUCAUGGAUUCUAAGCUACCUCUGAAAAUCUCCAGUCAUCAGUAUACAAGUGAACUAAAUGCAGUCACUACAGGUGUUAUUUUAUCAGCAUAUAAGAAAGAGUCAUUCCAUAUAUACAUGUUUUCACUUCCCAUUCACUAAUUUAAAACAGAUAUAAUUCAAUU
Molecule: long non-coding RNA, 9445 nt
Filed under: Taeniopygia guttata (zebra finch)
Lineage: Eukaryota; Metazoa; Chordata; Aves; Passeriformes; Estrildidae
Description: lncRNA (ENSTGUG00000023980.1)
Source: RNAcentral